Etheostoma spectabile (orangethroat darter) is the source of this 74-nucleotide long non-coding RNA. RefSeq lists it as uncharacterized. The transcript has 3 exons. NCBI's taxonomy places the organism in Eukaryota, Metazoa, Chordata, Actinopteri, Perciformes, Percidae. The record is from RefSeq and is a predicted model, not a curated record.
AUGAAAGAAUAAGUUGUGACCACUAAAAAGUUUAAUUACAACUAAAUCUGGGUGCUUUAGAGAGAGCGAGAGAA